CCUACGGGAGGCUGCAGUGAGGAAUAUUGGUCAAUGGCCGAGAGGCUGAACCAGCCAAGUCGCGUGAGGGAAGACGGCCCUACGGGUUGUAAACCUCUUUUGUCGGGGAGCAACGCGAACCACGUGUGGUUCAUUGAGAGUACCCGAAGAAAAAGCAUCGGCUAACUCCGUCCCAGCAGCCGCGGUAAUACGGAGGAUGCGAGCGUUAUCCGGAUUUAUUGGGUUUAAAGGGUGCGCAGGCGGAGGAGCAAGUCAGCGGUAAAGUUGGGGGGCUCAACCCCGUACUGCCGUUGAAACUGCAUCCCUUGAGUGCGCGAGAGGUAUGCGGAAUGCGUGGUGUAGCGGUGAAAUGCAUAGAUAUCACGCAGAACUCCGAUUGCGAAGGCAGCAUACCGGCGCGCAACUGACGCUCAUGCACGAAAGCGUGGGUAUUGAACAGGAUUAGAUACCCCAGUAGUC
RNAcentral lists this ribosomal RNA (459 nucleotides) under uncultured bacterium. RNAcentral's name for it is "partial 16S ribosomal RNA". It matches the Rfam family "Bacterial small subunit ribosomal RNA", at positions 338 to 795 of the family's 1533-position model. The record is from RNAcentral.